Molecule: ribosomal RNA, 117 nt
Filed under: Danio rerio (zebrafish)
Lineage: Eukaryota; Metazoa; Chordata; Actinopteri; Cypriniformes; Danionidae
Source: RNAcentral
UUUAUUAACCAUAUCAACCUGCAGCCCAAGACCGGUUACUCACUGAAGCUAAGCAGGUCUGAGCCUGGUUAGUACCUGGAUGGGAGACGACUAGGGAACACUAGGUUGCUGUUGGAA